RNAcentral lists this ribosomal RNA (1334 nucleotides) under uncultured bacterium. RNAcentral's name for it is "bacterial SSU rRNA". It matches the Rfam family "Bacterial small subunit ribosomal RNA", at positions 28 to 1393 of the family's 1533-position model. The record is from RNAcentral.
AAUCAACGCUGGCGGCGUGCCUAACACAUGCAAGUCGAACGAGAAAGUGGAGCAAUCCAUGAGUAAAGUGGCGCACGGGUGAGUAACACGUGACUAACCUACCCUUGAGUGGGGGAUAACCUCGGGAAACCGUGGCUAAUACCGCAUAAUACCUACGGGUCAAAGGAGCAAUUCGCUUAAGGAGGGGGUCGCGGCAGAUUAGUUAGUUGGCAGGGUAAUGGCCUACCAAGACAGUGAUCUGUAUCCGGCCUGAGAGGGCGCACGGACACACUGGAACUGAAACACGGUCCAGACUCCUACGGGAGGCAGCAGUGGGGAAUUUUGCGCAAUGGGGGAAACCCUGACGCAGCAACGCCGCGUGGAGGAUGAAGUCCCUUGGGACGUAAACUCCUUUCGACCGGGACGAUGAUGACGGUACCGGAAGAAGAAGCCCCGGCUAACUUCGUGCCAGCAGCCGCGGUAAUACGAGGGGGGCGAGCGUUGUUCGGAAUUAUUGGGCGUAAAGGGUGCGUAGGCGGUUCGGUAAGUUUUGUGUGAAAUCUUCGGGCUCAACUCGAAGUCUGCAUAAGAUACUGCCGGGCUUGAGUAUGGGAGAGGUGAGUGGAAUUUCCGGUGUAGCGGUGAAAUGCGUAGAUAUCGGAGGGAACACCCUGUGGCGAAAGCGGCUCACUGGACCAUAACUGACGCUGAGGCACGAAAGCUAGGGGAGCAAACAGGAUUAGAUACCCUGGUAGUCCUAGCCCUAAACGAUGAUCGCUUGGUGUGGCGGGUACCCAAUCCCGUCGUGCCGUAGCUAACGCGUUAAGCGAUCCGCCUGGGGAGUACGGUCGCAAGGCUGAAACUCAAAGGAAUUGACGGGGGCCCGCACAAGCGGUGGAGCAUGUGGUUUAAUUCGACGCAACGCGAAGAACCUUACCUGGGCUCGAAAUGUAGAGGAAUCCGGUGGAAACAUCGGCGCCUAGCAAUAGGCCUCUAUAUAGGUGCUGCAUGGCUGUCGUCAGCUCGUGUCGCGAGAUGUUGGGUUAAGUCCCGCAACGAGCGCAACCCUUAUUACCAGUUGCCAUCAUUUAGUUGGGCACUCUGGUGAGACUGCCUCGGAUAACGGGGAGGAAGGCGGGGAUGACGUCAAGUCCUCAUGGCCUUUAUGUCCAGGGCUACACACGUGCUACAAUGGCCGGUACAAACCGUCGCAAACCCGCGAGGGGGAGCUAAUCGGAAAAAGCCGGCCUCAGUUCGGAUUACAGUCUGCAACUCGACUGUAUGAAGCUGGAAUCGCUAGUAAUCGCGGAUCAGAAUGCCGCGGUGAAUACGUUCCCGGGCCUUGUACUCACCGC